This 301-nucleotide ribosomal RNA is filed under the name uncultured bacterium. RNAcentral's name for it is "partial 16S ribosomal RNA". It matches the Rfam family "Bacterial small subunit ribosomal RNA", at positions 509 to 807 of the family's 1533-position model. The record is from RNAcentral.
CAGUCGCCGCGGUAAUACGUAGGGUGCGAGCGUUAAUCGGAAUUACUGGGCGUAAAGCGGGCGCAGACGGUUACUUAAGCAGGAUGUGAAAUCCCCGGGCUCAACCUGGGAACUGCGUUCUGAACUGGGUAACUAGAGUGUGUCAGAGGGAGGUAGAAUUCCACGUGUAGCAGUGAAAUGCGUAGAGAUGUGGAGGAAUACCGAUGGCGAAGGCAGCCUCCUGGGAUAACACUGACGUUUAUGCCCGAAAGCGUGGGUAGCAAACAGGAUUAGAUACCCCCGUAGUCCCUGUCUCUUAUAC